CGUAGGUACCGAGCGUUAUCCGGAUUUACUGGGCGUAAAGCGCGUUCAGGCGGCGGGGCAAGUCGGGCAUGAAAUCCUUCGGCUCAACCGGGGGAGGCUGUCCGAUACUGUUUCACUGGAGGGCAGUAGAGGGUGGUGGAAUUCCGGGUGUAGUGGUGAAAUGCGUAGAGAUCCGGAGGAACACCAGUGGCGCAAGCGGCCACCUGGACUGUACCUGACGCUGACACGCGAAAGCUAGGGGAGCGGACGGGAUUAGAAACCCCGGUAGUCCUAGCUAUAAACGAUGUUGACUAGGUGUCGGUGGUCUAAACCCCGCCGGUGCCGCAGCCAACGCACUAAGUCAACCGCCUGGGGACUACGGCCGCAAGGUUA
Molecule: ribosomal RNA, 372 nt
Filed under: uncultured organism
Description: bacterial SSU rRNA
Rfam family: Bacterial small subunit ribosomal RNA
Source: RNAcentral